Molecule: ribosomal RNA, 503 nt
Filed under: uncultured bacterium
Lineage: Bacteria
Description: partial 16S ribosomal RNA
Rfam family: Bacterial small subunit ribosomal RNA
Source: RNAcentral
AUUGAACGCUGGCGGCAGGCUUAACACAUGCAAGUCGAGCGGGGUGAUGGUGCUUGCACUAUCACUUAGCGGCGGACGGGUGAGUAAUGCUUAGGAAUCUGCCUAUUAGUGGGGGACAACAUCUCGAAAGGGAUGCUAAUACCGCAUACGUCCUACGGGAGAAAGCAGGGGAUCACUUGUGACCUUGCGCUAAUAGAUGAGCCUAAGUCGGAUUAGCUAGUUGGUGGGGUAAAGGCCUACCAAGGCGACGAUCUGUAGCGGGUCUGAGAGGAUGAUCCGCCACACUGGGACUGAGACACGGCCCAGACUCCUACGGGAGGCAGCAGUGGGGAAUAUUGGACAAUGGGGGGAACCCUGAUCUAGCCAUGCCGCGUGUGUGAAGAAGGCCUUACGGUUGUAAAGCACUUUAAGCGAGGAGGAGGCUCUUUUGGUUAAUACCCAAGAUGAGUGGACGUUACUCGCAGAAUAAGCACCGGCUAACUCUGUGCCAGCCGCCGCGGUAA